AAACGGUGGUAAUGCCGGAUGCUCCGACUCCUCGCAUGGGGUGUCGGGAAAGAUUUCAUCGGUAUGGGAUGGGGUCGCGUCCUAUCAGGUAGUCGGCGGGGUAACGGCCCACCGAGCCUACGACGGGUAGCCGGCCUGAGAGGGCGACCGGCCACAUUGGGACUGAGAUACGGCCCAGACUCCUACGGGAGGCAGCAGUGGGGAAUAUUGCACAAUGGGCGCAAGCCUGAUGCAGCGACGCCGCGUGCGGGAUGACGGCCUUCGGGUUGUAAACCGCUUUUGAUCGGGAGCAAGCCUUCGGGUGAGUGUACCUUUCGAAUAAGCACCGGCUAACUACGUGCCAGCAGCCGCGGUAAUACGUAGGGUGCAAGCGUUAUCCGGAAUUAUUGGGCGUAAAGGGCUCGUAGGCGGUUCGUCGCGUCCGGUGUGAAAGUCCAUCGCUUAACGGUGGAUCUGCGCCGGGUACGGGCGGGCUGGAGUGCGGUAGGGGAGACUGGAAUUCCCGGUGUAACGGUGGAAUGUGUAGAUAUCGA
This 533-nucleotide ribosomal RNA is filed under the name Bifidobacterium pseudocatenulatum. RNAcentral's name for it is "bacterial SSU rRNA". It matches the Rfam family "Bacterial small subunit ribosomal RNA", at positions 155 to 700 of the family's 1533-position model. Lineage: Bacteria; Bacillati; Actinomycetota; Actinomycetes; Bifidobacteriales; Bifidobacteriaceae. The record is from RNAcentral.